This 245-nucleotide ribosomal RNA is filed under the name uncultured bacterium. RNAcentral's name for it is "partial 16S ribosomal RNA". It matches the Rfam family "Bacterial small subunit ribosomal RNA", at positions 524 to 768 of the family's 1533-position model. The record is from RNAcentral.
UACGAAGGUGGCGAGCGUUACUCGGAAUUACUAGGCGUAAAGCGCAGGUAGUUGGUUAGGUAAGUCUGUAAUGAAAUCUCCCGGCUUAACUGGGAGGGGUUUAUGGAUACUGCUUGACUUGAGUGUGGGAGAGGGUACUGGAAUUCCAGGUGUAGCGGUGAAAUGCGUAGAUAUCUGGAGGAACACCAAUGGCGAAAGCAGGUACCUGGCCCAAUACUGACGAUGAGCUGCGAAAGCUAGGGGAG